RNAcentral lists this ribosomal RNA (253 nucleotides) under uncultured bacterium. Its description in RNAcentral is "partial 16S ribosomal RNA". It matches the Rfam family "Bacterial small subunit ribosomal RNA", at positions 524 to 776 of the family's 1533-position model. The record is from RNAcentral.
UACAGAGGGUGCGAGCGUUAAUCGGAAUUACUGGGCGUAAAGCGCACGUAGGCGGCUUGGUAUGUCGGGUGUGAAAUCCCCGGGCUCAACCUGGGAACCGCAUCCGAAACUGCCUUGCUAGAGUAUGGGAGAGGGAAGUGGAAUUUCCGGUGUAGCGGUGAAAUGCGUAGAUAUCGGAAGGAACAUCAGUGGCGAAGGCGACUUCCUGGACCAAUACUGACGCUCAGGUGCGAAAGCGUGGGGAGCAAACAGG